GGGUAGUUUAAGACUAUUUAGAUUUUAAAAAUAUACUGUAAAGGAAUAUAAGUGUUUUUUAUGCCUUACUAUUGUUUUGUUUUGGAAAUUAUUACAAUAUGACAAAAUUAUUACAUUUUAAUUAAAAUGUUUUUGGUGAGUUCAUAGUGUAAAAAAUUUCUCAUAAUGUAAAAACCGUUAUUACAUUAUACAUUAUUGUUACCGCAAAUUAUGUCCAGGAUAAUGAUCAUUACUGGAGCUUAUGAAUAGGAGAAAACCACGUAAGACUACUAGUCACUGCUUAUCACCGUCUUAGCAAGUGUAUGAAACGUGACUAAAUAAAACUAUCAUCUGGUUAAGAGCAAGCAGUAGGCGGCCGAACUAGAUGAUAUUAGUAAACCCUGCAACCGCUGACUAUGAACGGAACUGGCGAUUUUGUGUCCGUGAGAUCUAUGUAAUCGUCCGGCAUAUGACUCUGAGCAACAAUCAGGAUCUGAAUGAAAGGAUAAUGAAAGUUAGGACGAUUCAGAGUAAUCAAUAACUUAAAAAGAUUACAUUAAAAGAAUGAUCAGAAAUCAAUUAGAGCUUAAAUCUAAAUUAGAGGUUCAAUUUAAAUUGGAGUCAGAUAAAAUUAAUAACAAUUCAAUUGAGUCAAUUGAUAAAGUGCAAAUUAAUAAUAAGUGUUUUUGCUUCAGCACUCAGAAAAGACAGAACAAUGCAGAAACAUUAAGGGGCCAUUCUAUUGGAAUCUGACAUCGGACCAGUAGUUUUAAGCUACCCCCUUUUUUUUUUACAAAGUGGUGACGUGAUGUCUUUUCAGCGCGACAUUCAGUUCCAUUCCACACAGUACAUGAGGCUUGAGCUUCUGUCUCCAGCUGCUGUGGUAAGUCCAUUCUUUUUGCCUAUUAGAAGUGUUGAGGGAAAGCACAGGUGCACCCCAUUUAUACACAUAUAUAGACCCUUUUAGUGCCGACGUCACAAUUACGUAACGGCGUUAGCUGGAGGCAAAACAAAGGGAAAACUGGAGGCGGCCAAUUCAAACCAGCACAGAGUCAGCUACAUAAGGAGCUUAAAAUGUCAUCUUGUGUUGUUGGGUGCCAGAAUCGACGGAGUACAGGCUCCAAUUUGAAAUGUUAGCGCAUACCUGCUGCCACUGCCAGACAAAAAAAACUACGACAGCUGUGGUUAAACGCAAUAAAACGAGCGGACUGGACAGAAACGAUCAUCAAAAAUGCUCGCGUUUGCAGCGCACACUUCAUAUCAGGUAAGGUUAAAUAAACUAUUGUCUUUUGUUGGUAUGGAUUAUGGUUUGGUUACGUGUCUAAAGAUUUCUCAUGCAUGCCCACCUAAUCAGAAAUUGGGGAACAAGUUAAGUGAUUUCUCACGUAACGCUAACUUUUUUAGCGCAUAAGUUAGCUAACUUUGUUAGCCAUACAACUAGCAGUUAGCUAACUGCUAGCUAAUUACUAGAGACUAAACAUAAAGGAAACUGUUUGUGUCGUCUCCCUUUCUACAGUUGCCUUAAGUGCAAUUGUGGAUAGGGAGAGGGGACAGUGAGAAGGCCCGGACUUCGUCCCCUCUGUGUUUUCUUAUAAACGGCACAGUGACAGGCCUGUGGAAAAGCUGGAGAGGCUGGAAAGGAAAAGGGAAAGUCUGACAGUGGAGCAAGAGGUUGCCAUGCUGAUGAUGAUCCAAUGACACCAGAGGAACCAGUGGAAGAAGCUGAGGCUAUGGUCCCUCAAGCAGCAUACAACAGUCUCAGUGAGAAGUAUGACCAACUCAACACUGAAUAUGUCAACUUGAGAAAAUACUUUUACCAACUCAAAGAGGAGAAUCAAAGACUGAAAGAGGAGCUUCAGAAAUCACGCUUCUCAUUCUCCACGGUCAAAAACAAGGCUGCACACUUUCUGUUUCUCACUGGGCUAACUUCAGUCAUCUUCAGUUGGUUAAUGUCAAAAAUAAAAGACAGUGUGCAGAAGCGAACUGAAAGUCUCAUGCUGGAAGAUCAUUUAUUAGUGGUCCUUAUGAAACUGAGAUUGGGGCUCAGUAACAGAGAUAUAGCAUAUA
Long non-coding RNA from Myxocyprinus asiaticus (Chinese sucker), 2046 nucleotides. RefSeq lists it as uncharacterized. NCBI's taxonomy places the organism in Eukaryota, Metazoa, Chordata, Actinopteri, Cypriniformes, Catostomidae. The transcript has 3 exons. The record is from RefSeq and is a predicted model, not a curated record.